RNAcentral lists this ribosomal RNA (231 nucleotides) under uncultured bacterium. RNAcentral's name for it is "partial 16S ribosomal RNA". It matches the Rfam family "Bacterial small subunit ribosomal RNA", at positions 91 to 334 of the family's 1533-position model. The record is from RNAcentral.
UAAAGUGGCGUACGGGUGAGUAACACGUGGAUUAUCUACCUCUUAGUGGGGAAUAAACUUUGGGAAACCGAAGCUAAUACCGCAUAAGCCUGGAAAGGGAAAAGCAGCAAUGCGCUGAGAGAGGAGUCCGCGGCCGAUUAGCUAGUUGGCAGGGUAAAAGCCUACCAAGGCUAUGAUCGGUAGCCGGCCUGAGAGGGCACACGGCCACACUGGCACUGAAACACGGGCCAG